UCCACUAUAACCAUAAACAUACACAUCAAGCCUUACUCAAACAUAAACAAAACAUAGCUAAGCUAUUACAACCAAACAUGGCAACCCAUGCUUGAACCUCUUCUUUCCCAUAGCUCUAUCUGACUUACUCUGGCUUAUUUACUCUGGCCCUGCAAAACUGGGGUUAAGGGAAUGGGGUGAGCUACAAGAGCCCAGUGAGUAGAAACAGAGAAAACAGUUCAUUAAUUAUGAUUUCAUUUUAUUAUUCAUUAUUUAUUUUAUUUCAUUUUUAUUAUUUUAUUUUUAUUUCAUUCUUUUAUUUCAUGCUUUCAUGAAAUGCGUCAUAUCACAACGAAUACACAUCAAACAUUUCUUCCCCGCUUGAGUUCACGCUAGCAAUCUCUUCCUCUUGCGGGUGAUUUUAGAGGGUUCUCGAAACGUCCUUCCCCUCAGGGUUAGACAUGACCCCAACAUUCCCUCUGUCAAAUUUUGGCCCCGAAGGAGCUCUCAUAGGGCUUUCCUACAUGUACUUGCCCGACUGACAAAGACUCAUUGACAGACUUGUGGGCUAUUGAGG
This 556-nucleotide long non-coding RNA is filed under the name Manihot esculenta (cassava). Its description in RNAcentral is "long non-coding RNA (MESC_LNC010705)". The record is from RNAcentral. Lineage: Eukaryota; Viridiplantae; Streptophyta; Magnoliopsida; Malpighiales; Euphorbiaceae.